UAAUACCCAAUGACGUCUCUAGAAGACAUCUGAAAGAGAUUAAAGAUUUAUCGGUGAUGGAUGGGGAUGCGUCUGAUUAGCUUGUUGGGGGGGUAACGGCCCACCAAGGCAACGAUCAGUAGGGGUUCUGAGAGGAAGGUCCCCCACAUUGGAACUGAGACACGGUCCAAACUCCUACGGGAGGCAGCAGUGAGGAAUAUUGGUCAAUGGACGAGAGUCUGAACCAGCCAAGUAGCGUGCAGGAAGACGGCCCUAUGGGUUGUAAACUGCUUUUAUAAGGGAAUAAAGUGAGUCUCGUGAGACUUUUUGCAUGUACCUUAUGAAUAAGGACCGGCUAAUUCCGUGCCAGCAGCCGCGGUAAUACGGAAGGUCCGGGCGUUAUCCGGAUUUAUUGGGUUUAAAGGGAGCGUAGGCCGGAGAUUAAGCGUGUUGUGAAAUGUAGAUGCUCAACAUCUGAACUGCAGCGCGAACUGGUUUCCUUGAGUACGCACAAAGUGGGCGGAAUUCGUGGUGUAGCGGUGAAAUGCUUAGAUAUCACGAAGAACUCCGAUUGCGAAGGCAGCUCACUGGAGCGCAACUGACGCUGAAGCUCGAAAGUGCGGGUAUCGAAAAGGAUUAGAUCCCCUGGUAGUCCGCACGGUAAACGAAGGAUGCCCGCUGUUGGUCUGAAUAGGUCAGCGGCCAAGCGAAAGCAUUAAGCAUCCCACCUGGGGAGUACGCCGGCAACGGUGAAACUCAAAGGAAUUGACGGGGGCCCGCACAAGCGGAGGAACAUGUGGUUUAAUUCCAUGAUACGCGAGGAACCUUACCCGGGCUUGAAUUGCAGAGGAAGGAUUUGGAGACAAUGACGCCCUUCGGGGCCUCUGAGAAGGUGCUGCAUGGUUGUCGUCAGCUCGUGCCGUGAGGUGUCGGCUUAAGUGCCAUAACGAGCGCAACCCCUCUCCUUAGUUGCCAUCAGGUGAAGCUGGGCACUCUGGGGACACUGCCACCGUAAGGUGUGAGGAAGGUGGGGAUGACGUCAAAUCAGCACGGCCCUUACGUCCCGGGCUACACACGUGUUACAAUGGCAGGUACAGAGAGACGGUCCCUUGCAAAAUGGAUCAAAUCCUUAAAGCCUGUCUCAGUUCGGACUGGGGUCUGCAACCCGACCCCACGAAGCUGGAUUCGCUAGUAAUCGCGCAUCAGCCAUGGCGCGGUGAAUACGUUCCCGGGCCUUGCACA
This 1221-nucleotide ribosomal RNA is filed under the name uncultured bacterium. Its description in RNAcentral is "bacterial SSU rRNA". It matches the Rfam family "Bacterial small subunit ribosomal RNA", at positions 164 to 1387 of the family's 1533-position model. The record is from RNAcentral.